GAGGGUAUAGCUCAGUGGUAGAGUGCAAGCUUAGCAUGCACAAGGUCCUGGGUUCAAUCCCCAGUACCUCCA
RNAcentral lists this transfer RNA (72 nucleotides) under Camelus bactrianus (Bactrian camel). It matches the Rfam family "tRNA". Rfam says of the family: Transfer RNA (tRNA) molecules are approximately 80 nucleotides in length. Their secondary structure includes four short double-helical elements and three loops (D, anti-codon, and T loops). Further hydrogen bonds mediate the characteristic L-shaped molecular structure. tRNAs have two regions of fundamental functional importance: the anti-codon, which is responsible for specific mRNA codon recognition, and the 3' end, to which the tRNAs corresponding amino acid is attached (by aminoacyl-tRNA synthetases). tRNAs cope with the degeneracy of the genetic code in two manners: having more than one tRNA (with a specific anti-codon) for a particular amino acid; and 'wobble' base-pairing, i.e. permitting non-standard base-pairing at the 3rd anti-codon position. RNAcentral also lists the same sequence under 1 other name. The record is from Rfam by way of RNAcentral. Lineage: Eukaryota; Metazoa; Chordata; Mammalia; Artiodactyla; Camelidae.